UACGGAGGGUGCAAGCGUUAUCCGGAUUCACUGGGUUUAAAGGGUGCGUAGGUGGGCAGGUAAGUCAGUGGUGAAAUCCCCGAGCUUAACUUGGGAACUGCCAUUGAUACUAUUUGUCUUGAAUACUGUGGAGGUUAGCGGAAUAUGUCGUGUAGCGGUGAAAUGCUUAGAUAUGACAUAGAACACCAAUUGCGAAGGCAGCUGGCUACACAAAUAUUGACACUGAUGCACGAAAGCGUGGGGAUCAAACAGG
RNAcentral lists this ribosomal RNA (253 nucleotides) under uncultured bacterium. Its description in RNAcentral is "partial 16S ribosomal RNA". It matches the Rfam family "Bacterial small subunit ribosomal RNA", at positions 524 to 776 of the family's 1533-position model. The record is from RNAcentral.